Molecule: ribosomal RNA, 440 nt
Filed under: uncultured bacterium
Lineage: Bacteria
Description: partial 16S ribosomal RNA
Rfam family: Bacterial small subunit ribosomal RNA
Source: RNAcentral
CCUACGGGUGGCAGCAGUGGGGAAUAUUGCACAAUGGGGGCAACCCUGAUGCAGCAACGCCGCGUGAGUGAAGAAGGAUUUCGGGAUGUAAAGCUCUAUCAGCAGGGAAGAAAAUGACAGUACCUGACUAAGAAGCACCGGCUAACUACGUGCCAGCAGCCGCGGUAAUACGGAGGGUGCGAGCGUUAAUCGGAAUUACUGGGCGUAAAGCGCUCGUAGGCGGUCUGUCAAGUCACGGGUGAAAUCCCCGCGGUCAACGUGGGAACUGCCUUUGAAACUGGCAAACUGGAGUGUGUGAGAGGAUAGUAGAAGUCCAGGUGUAGGAGUGAAAUGCGUAGAGAUCUGGAGGAACAUCAGUGGCGAGGGCGACUACCUGGCACAUAACUGACGCUGAGGAGCGAAAGCGUGGGUAGCAAACAGGAUUAGAUACCCGGGUAGUC